UCUGUAGGCAGCAGGAAUUAGAAAUGGAAGUGACUAAUGAAGUUUCUUCCUACGGGAGUGACACAGGGCGUCACACAGCAUCACACGGUCCAUCUGAAUGAGUUACAGAUUUCCACAUUGGACAAGACAGGGGGUGGCAAUCGGCGGCUCGCCUCUCGCUAUGUAAGUGCGAUCACCCAGUUAAAACCAGAAGACACGAUGCUGGCCUUACACAGAUCCUUUGCACAGCGGCACCAGAAGCAGGAGCUAAGUGACAUCAACAGAUACUGACUCAGAGCUCACUCUGGGUGAGGCCUCCUGAUUUACAUCUGGAUUUACAUCCCCUUCCUAAGAAGGGGAGAAAAGAGCUACCCCACGGCGAGGGGUUAAAACUCUGCUAUCUGGAUUGGUAACAGAAAAAACAGAGAGACAGGAAAGAGACUCACACGAUCUUAGACAGCCUGGAUGGGGGCCCCCUGACAUCCUACCUCAGGCUCGGCCCAACACUGGGCUCAAGACCAGUCUCAAAUUAGCCUCUAGAGACCACGAAAUAUUUGCCAGGUCCCAAGACCAAGCACUGAGUAGGCAAUUCUUGGGUUCUCGGCAGUGUGGGGAAGCACACACUGCCUGGGCCCUGCCAGUUGGGGUCCCUAGGAAGAGAAGGCAGAUUCCUCCAGACCUUCCAAAACCGGGGGGGCAGAAGGGAUGUGGUCACUGGCCACUCCCUUGCAGCUCUCCACUCUUGCAGCUCGUCUCUGAGCCACGGCACGGAGGGCCAGCCCUGCCUAGUUUAUACCUCAAAUUCUCCAGACCUCUUUGUCUCCCUGAGCCUGGCACAGAGGCCCCAAACGGAGUACAGUAUUCCUCUUGUUCAGCACCUCGCUUCUUACUGUGCUGGUUUUCUUUCUGUAAGGUGAAACUAAGUCCCAGAAGACCACGACGGCAUCUCGCCCAGGAGUCAGAAAGGGAACUGGACCUUCCAGCGCCUGGCCGAGAGCCCAGGAGACCAAGCAGGCCCAGGAGACCCAGGCCCAGGAGACCAAGCAGCAGGCUCUCCGGGGGCUGCUGUUUCGGCUGUCUGCAGCAGGGGGCGUUACUGGCAUCUGCAGGAGGCCACAGGUGAGACUCAGAGGCGGCCCCAAGGCACUGCGGUGGAGUCCCCAGCACUGGGGGAGGUGAGGAGAGAGAAGCCAAGCCCAGAAAGUGGCAUCCGGAGCCCGGAACGCCCUCCCUGCAGAGCGCCCUUCCCCUGCCGCCCAGCAGCCUCCUGGGCCAAGCCGCUGGGUCUGGGGCUGCGGGAGAAGUCAAGCGCAGAGGACAGGAGAGCCACAGGAGACUGCCACCUCACACAGCCCCUGUGAAGCCCGAGAGGAUGGUCUGCUCUUAGGCUUGCAAGAGGCAGUCGGGGAGUCACGAAACAGCCUUCUCUCGGAGAAGAAGUAGACAGUCCGGGCUCCUGGUUCCAGCCGUGUGAUCCUGGGUACCCAGCAUCUCUCUGGGCACCAGGUCCCAUUAUUCCUGUUCCUGAAGCAGGAAUAAUGUACAUCCUAAAUACCCAACCCACUUUAUAGCCAUCAGGCACAUCACAUGAGAUGAUAUGGCAACACCACUGUGAAAACUUUCAGAGGAUUGACUCCCCAAAAGGGCGUGGCUGCAGGAGGACGAGAGCUCUCAUACACCUUACUGUGGCCUCAGCCUGGCACCACCUAAGGCAACUUAGGGACAACUCUUAGGGAAUGCUUAACUCACGUCCCACUUUUUAAAAUAUUUUCCACAGAUACAUUUGCGUGGAAUAUGUAACGAUCAUAGUAGUGUUUGUAACGUUUUUAAAAAUGGCGGGGCACCUGGACGGUUCAGUCUAUUGAGCGUCUGGCUCGAUUUCGGCUCAGGUCAUGAUCUCAGGGUUGUGAGAUCGAGCCCCGCGUAGAGCUCCGCACUAGACAUGGAGCCCGCUUGAAAUUCUCUUUCCUUCUUCCUCCCUCUGUACGCCCUGCUCACAUUCUCUCACCCUCAAAAAAGAAAUUAAAAAGUAAUAAUUAAAAACAAUAAAAAUGGAACAUGGCAAACACCCCGUGGUCCAUCAGUAGAACAGUGCCCAUCUUGUGUGGUGCGUGCAGAGGCUCAAGAGAAAAGUGGGGCUGCACACACACGACUGUGUGAUGUGAUACCAUCGUGUCAAACUAACAGAGAAGGACACACUUGUAUGUGCUCGUGCACAGAGCAAAUGUCUGGUCUGGAAGUAUCUGUAGGAAACUGUAACAGUGGGAGUGUCUGCAAGUGAAGUGGAGAAACUAGAAAUAAAGAAAGGGAUUUUUCUUUUUCAUAUUUAUUUAUUUAUUUAUUUUUGAGAGGGGGGAGGAGCAGAGAGAGAGAGACAG
Long non-coding RNA from Felis catus (domestic cat), 2357 nucleotides. RefSeq lists it as uncharacterized. The record is from RefSeq and is a predicted model, not a curated record. The transcript is spliced from 3 exons. NCBI's taxonomy places the organism in Eukaryota, Metazoa, Chordata, Mammalia, Carnivora, Felidae.